Molecule: ribosomal RNA, 484 nt
Filed under: uncultured bacterium
Lineage: Bacteria
Description: partial 16S ribosomal RNA
Rfam family: Bacterial small subunit ribosomal RNA
Source: RNAcentral
AUUGAACGCUGGCGGAAUGCUUUACACAUGCAAGUCGAACGGCAGCACGGGGGCAACCCUGGUGGCGAGUGGCGAACGGGUGAGUAAUACAUCGGAACGUGCCCGGUCGUGGGGGAUAACGUAGCGAAAGUUACGCUAAUACCGCAUACGAUCUGAGGAUGAAAGCGGGGGACCUUCGGGCCUCGCGCGAUCGGAGCGGCCGAUGUCAGAUUAGGUAGUUGGUGGGGUAAAGGCCUACCAAGCCGACGAUCUGUAGCUGGUCUGAGAGGACGACCAGCCACACUGGGACUGAGACACGGCCCAGACUCCUACGGGAGGCAGCAGUGGGGAAUUUUGGACAAUGGGCGCAAGCCUGAUCCAGCCAUUCCGCGUGCAGGACGAAGGCCUUCGGGUUGUAAACUGCUUUUGUAUGGAACGAAAAGGCUCUGGCUAAUACCUGGGACUCAUGACGGUACCGUAAGAAUAAGCACCGGCUAACUACGUG